UUCACGCUAUCCUGUCGACCGACUGUCCGCCUCCGCCUCCGCCUCCGCUGGAUCUUCCUCUACGACGGUCAAAGAAGGGGAAGGGCAUGAGAUUGAAUGGAGGAAGGGGAGAAGGCGGGGCGGGAGUAAGAUGAGCGCCGCCGCGAUCGCUCCUCCCAUCGAGGAUAUCAUGCCCUUGAGCCGCUCCUCGCCGUGCGAUGGAUGAGACGUAGGGUUCCGUCGGAACCACAACCAGCUUGUCCCUCAGGUUGGGGCAGGCGAUCUUCUCCUCCGCCGCCCUACUCCUCAUGUCCGUCGGCGUCAGGUUCUACAGCUAUACCGCUUUCUGCUGAUAACGCGGCACCUGCCGAGGAGCUCCAGCAUCGUGAGCCUACGGGAGGCGUGCGAGGAUGACGGAGUUGUGCAUUUGAUCAUGGAGCUGUGUGAGGGCGGGGAGCUCUUUGACCGCAUUGUGGCGAGGGGCCACUAGUCAGAGCGCGCGGCAGCUGUGGUCAUGAAGACCAUUGUUGAGGUCGUGCAACUCUGCCAUUGCCAUGGGGUGAUCCAUCGAGACCUCGAGCCAGAGAAUUUCUUGUUUUCAAACAAGAAGGAGAACUCACCCUUGAAGGCAAUUGACUUUGGGUUGUCAAUAUUCUUCCAGCCUGGUGAAAGAUUUUCUGAGAUAGUUGGAAGCCCUUAUUACAUGGCUCCAUAAGUUUUUAAAUGGAAUUAUGGACCAGAACUUGAUAUAUCAAGU
This is a long non-coding RNA of Zingiber officinale, 736 nucleotides long. RefSeq lists it as uncharacterized. NCBI's taxonomy places the organism in Eukaryota, Viridiplantae, Streptophyta, Magnoliopsida, Zingiberales, Zingiberaceae. The record is from RefSeq and is a predicted model, not a curated record. The transcript is spliced from 4 exons.